AAAUUGAAGAGUUUGAUCAUGGCUCAGAUUGAACGCUGGCGGCAGGCCUAACACAUGCAAGUCGAACGGUAACAGGAAGAAGCUUGCUUCUUUGCUGACGAGUGGCGGACGGGUGAGUAAUGUCUGGGAAACUGCCUGAUGGAGGGGGAUAACUACUGGAAACGGUAGCUAAUACCGCAUAAUGUCGCAAGACCAAAGAGGGGGACCUUCGGGCCUCUUGCCAUCGGAUGUGCCCAGAUGGGAUUAGCUUGUUGGUGGGGUAACGGCUCACCAAGGCGACGAUCCCUAGCUGGUCUGAGAGGAUGACCAGCCACACUGGAACUGAGACACGGUCCAGACUCCUACGGGAGGCAGCAGUGGGGAAUAUUGCACAAUGGGCGCAAGCCUGAUGCAGCCAUGC
Molecule: ribosomal RNA, 400 nt
Filed under: Escherichia coli
Lineage: Bacteria; Pseudomonadati; Pseudomonadota; Gammaproteobacteria; Enterobacterales; Enterobacteriaceae
Description: bacterial SSU rRNA
Rfam family: Bacterial small subunit ribosomal RNA
Source: RNAcentral